UAGGGAAUCUUCCGCAAUGGACGCAAGUCUGACGGAGCAACGCCGCGUGAGUGAAGAAGGAUUUCGGUUCGUAAAACUCUGUUGUUAGAGAAGAACAGCGCAUAGAGUAACUGUUAUGCGUGUGACGGUAUCUAACCAGAAAGCCACGGCUAACUACGUGCCAGCAGCCGCGGUAAUACGUAGGUGGCAAGCGUUGUCCGGAUUUAUUGGGCGUAAAGCGAGCGCAGGCGGUCAAUUAAGUCUGAUGUGAAAGCCCCCGGCUCAACCGGGGAGGGUCAUUGGAAACUGGUUGACUUGAGUGCAGAAGAGGAGAGUGGAAUUCCAUGUGUAGCGGUGAAAUGCGUAGAUAUAUGGAGGAACACCAGUGGCUAAGGCGACUCUCUGGUCUGUAACUGACGCUGAGGCUCGAAAGCGUGGGUAGCAAACAGG
Molecule: ribosomal RNA, 429 nt
Filed under: Bacteroidota bacterium
Lineage: Bacteria; Pseudomonadati; Bacteroidota
Description: Bacteroidetes bacterium partial 16S ribosomal RNA
Rfam family: Bacterial small subunit ribosomal RNA
Source: RNAcentral